Molecule: long non-coding RNA, 558 nt
Organism: Triticum aestivum (bread wheat)
Lineage: Eukaryota; Viridiplantae; Streptophyta; Magnoliopsida; Poales; Poaceae
Exons: 3
Source: RefSeq, a predicted model, not a curated record
CUUUUUUACAUAAAAAAAGAGAGACAUCGAUCCCCUCGACGGCUCGAUCCGUCCAUAUUCAUCACACAGCGAUUGCAGGCUCCCAACCCUAGGCCACCAACGCCGACACGCCGGGACCCAUCAUCACGCUCGUCUUUGGUCGAUUGCUCUACGAUUUCUAGGCACUACACACAGUACAUGGACUGAAGCUCAUCACGGAUGCGACCAUCAGGAUCAGGGUUAUGCAUUAUCAUGUGUUCGAGAAACAUGAACUAUGCAUCAGGAAGAAGAUUGCGGAUAAACUGAUACAAUCACAGAGCGGACAUAAGCAUACAUAUUUGAAGGGUGGUACCAGUGCUUCCACCACUUCGAUAAACCCAGAUGAUGAGCUGCCGAUGGUUUCCAUAGAAGAAGAGCAACAAAUUAAUGGGGAUUGGGAAUUUGAUCAGCAAAAAGAAAAUGCCGACAGUUUGAUGAAAGUGAUCGUCAAGAAGAAAUUCUAGAAGCUGAGAAGGAUUUCCAAGUUAAGUAUUAUUUUUGUUGACAUGGCGAUCACUUCUUUGAAGGAUAGAUUUAAAG